Misgurnus anguillicaudatus (oriental weatherfish) is the source of this 3195-nucleotide non-coding RNA. The record is from RefSeq and is a predicted model, not a curated record. NCBI's taxonomy places the organism in Eukaryota, Metazoa, Chordata, Actinopteri, Cypriniformes, Cobitidae.
CUAGCAUGUAUAAUCGGCCCGAGCUCGGCUGCCCUGCGGCAGGUGCGGCUCAGACUCGGCAUCGGCGUGUGUUAACCGAGCCGAUUGUGCCCCGCAGCUCGCUCUGGCACAUUCAUUUUUGUUCUGGCUGUAAGCACUGGGCCGAUUCAUGUUCACCGUAACUGGUAACCCAGCUCUGGCUGUAUGAUCUGGACCACUUUUGGAAAUGACUCGGCUUAUGUUAAAUCAAGGAUGGUUUUAAUGGAUGCCAUUCAAUGUAGGCGACUUUCUUUAACACAAAUGUAGAUUUUUAACUCCAACCGUUUUAGUCUGUCCAUAACAAAAGACAGUAAAAAACAAAACAUGCACAGACAAAUCCAAAUUAAACCCUGCUGCUCGUUGAUGUCCUAAGACACGAAACGAUCGGUUUCUGUGAGAAACCGAACUGUAUUAUAUAAUUUAUACCUCUAAUACGGCGCCUUCUUCUUCUUUUGAGUUUUAAUGGCGGGUUGCGAAGCAACGUCAUAGUUGCAUACUGCCAUCUACUGUAUCGGAUGCACGGCUUGAGGGCUAUACAGGGACACCCGAAACCGUAGGUGGCGGUAUGCACCUAUGAAGUUGCUUCGCAACCCGCCAUUAAAACUAAAGAAGAAGGUGCUGUGCACGGGCUCAUUUGACUACGCAUAGUACUGUAUUAGAGGUAAAAAAAAUUAUAUAAAUACUGUUCGGCUUCUCGCACAAACCGAUCGUUUCGUUUCUUAGGAUAUCAAUGUGUCGUCACGAGCGGCAGGGUUUAAUUUGGAUUUGUCUGUGCAUGUUUUUACUGUCUGAGAUUUUGUUACUAUUCACAUGCAUACAGACUGAAACGGUUGGAGUUUCUACAUUUGUGUUGUACUGAAGAAACAAAAUCACAUACAUCUUGGAUGACCUCGGGGUAAGCUGAUAAAUAUAAAAAAUUCAUUUUAAGAUGAAUCCCGUACGUUGGCGGCUGUUUUAAACUGGGUGCUCGGCUCAGACCCUUUUGCCAGUAUGAAGCCGAUUUCAACGGUAACUGCAGAAAGCGUCAGCACGCUCAGCUCAUCACUGGAGUAACGUCUGUACAACGGGUGAGAUAAAACUCAACGCCUGACUGAAUCAUCCAUUCCCUUUUCGAUUCUACGCCAUACGUUAAACUUGAGGUAAUCUUGCUUUUGCUGUUCUAAAAUAAACACUGCUCUUAGGUAAGAAUGGCUGAUCAAAUGCAUUAUUUUAAAUCUAAUCUGAGACACAAAGCAGUUAAAUCGUUGUCUAAUUUUCUGCAAGGUAUUAAGAACGACAGUAAGCUUGUUGACGAUGAUCUGACUGAUGACUGAUAUGUGUGAUGAGAUUAAAACUAGGGCUGUGCAAAAAAAUCGAUACAGCUAACUACCGUGAUAGUUAGCUGUAUCGAUAGUGUAUCGAUAUUUCGAUCUCUACUGUCGAUAUUUUAAAAACCAUCAAAUCCCUCUGUGUGCGUCAAAUGACCUCCUCACCGCUGCUGUAGUUGUCACUGUCCAGUUGUCUGCCAUAUACGGCCAUUCGGCCAAUGUCUCAGAAGUUAGAGGGAGUGAGAAAAUGGCAGAAAAUGUAAAAACAGCUCUAUUUUUUACAUUUUUGAUUGUAUUGUGAUACGUAUCGUAUCAUGACCCAUGUAUCGUGACACGUAUCGUAUUGGGAGGCCCUUGCCAAUACCCAGCCCUAAUUAAAACAACUUUUCUUUUAGCACACCACCCGUACAUGGCACACAAAACAGGUCUUGUGAGGGGGCUGUGCCCACACGUAGAAAUUCUGUAGGUCCACGGGCUUCUCCCCUUUCAGCGAACAUCACAGCGCUUAGUCCACCAUCGUGGUCUCCAAUCUCCAUUACCAACAGCCUGAGUGCUACACCUACAGACACCCCAACCCAUGCAGCAGCUGGCAGAAGUCAGACAUCAGGCCAAACUGGAUUUCAACACACCCCACCCUUACAUGGCACACAAGUAUAUGACACACAACACAGGUCUUCUCAGGAGGCUGUGCCUACAGGUAGGAAUUAUACAAAGUGAUCUCUCUCGGUUUACUCUGACAUAUCUACGUACAAUGUUUUGCUAGUAAUCUGCUAUGCCUGCUUUUUCUUGUGUUCUACAGCAAUAGGCUUUACGCCCAGCUGCACUACUUCCUGAACUUCAGCCAGCUCCUUGUUUCCUGUCUGCCAUUAUUGGACAAACUGAUUAAUCCAGGUGUGCCUCAGCUUAGUAGUCACAACAACAAUAAUCAGACACACCUGGAUUUAUCAGUUUGUCCAGUAAUGGCAGACAGGAAACAAGGAGCUGGCUGAAAUUCAGGAAGUAGUGCAGCUGGGCAUAAAGCCUAUUGCUAAGGAGAUCCUCAUCCAGCUCGAUUUUAUUAGAGAGCAGCAGUUGCAGACUUCACCCCAGACCCAACACAUUUUGGGCUCCCACUUUCAACUAUUGAGGAGCUACAAUGUUUGUAGGAGACAUUAAAUAAUCCAGAUGAGAAGAAGAAUUUGGUGAGACUGUUUUUCCUGGAAUGGUCGGAGACAAGACUCUUAAAGACACCGUGGGGUGGGUCCUGAAAAAAACAAUAAACUCUUCGUGGCGAGACUCAUCAAUUGAAGUGGGGUCAACUGAAGCCUGCAUUCAAAGGGCUCACUUUGAAAAGUGUGGUUUUGGAUGCAGUCCGCCGGAAUGCCCUGACCAAAGAUAACACAGAAAAGGAGAUAGAGCUCCUCAUCACCAGGUGGUCGGUGCUAGCAUAUGACAGGGAUGGUGGCCGAAUCCAGACAAUAGACAGACAAUGAAUUAAAAUGUUUUAAAUUUAAAAAUGUUGAUUUUUGGAAAAUUCGUAUUUGAACUGAUUGUGUGUGUGUGUGUGUGUGUGCACCUGGUAAUUAUCACGUUGUGUCCCCACAAAGAUAGGAAUACUAGUAUUUUUGUGACCUUGUGUCCCCAUGAGGAAACAAGCUUAUAAAUCAAACAAAAUGAUGUUUCUUGUAAAUGUGAAGUAGGAGAAGGGUUUCUGUGAUGGUUGGGUUUAGGGAAUGGGGUAGGUAAGGGGAAUAAAAUAUACAGUUUGUAUGGUAUAAAAUGCAUUACGUCUAUGGAAUGUCCCCACAAAACAUGGAAACCUGUUUGUGUGUACGAGAGAGAGAGAAUGUGUGUUCAAGUGAAUAAAAAAUGCAUUAAACGUGAAAUCCUU